UCGUAUGCUUAUGAAGCCCCGGCAUCCUACCGUAGGGUGGGUGCGAAAUUGAGUUGGCAGAUGUGUUAGGGUUAAUCCGCCCAAUGAAACGAUAAACACCGAACUGAGACUAUAACUGUCAAAAUUAGGCUGGGAAGCAAGGUGAUCGAAAAUUGGAUGUAAGGCAAGGCGAAGCCGAGGCACAUUGACUGCACGCUGAGGAAAACCUGUGUUAUUGACAUGGUGACUGGCUAGUAGCCGAUGAACUACAUUGAGGCCUGAUUGAUCGAGUUAAGCAAAAUGCCUAAGAAAAGUGUCACGAAGGAGUGUCCCGGAUGCGAGCGACAGCUCCCGGUAGCGUGCAAGACAUGCCCGUGCGGCCACUCGUUCCGGAAGCCGAGCGACUCGACAUCGGUGCCUACCCGGCUUUCCAGCUCGUCUAAGGAGGGCGAGUCUCCCGCCAGGCGGCGCACUGAGCGCGUUAAGCGUGAGAAGCCGAAGUUCUAUGACGCCAGCCAAUACGAGCGUGCCCCCAGAAAACGAAAACCGAAGGUGAUAGUGGAGCCUGAAGUCAAGAAGGUUCGGAUCGACGAAAGACGUUCAUUUAAGGAAAAAGAAAAGGAACGAGAAGAUAAUGGAGCUGGUGCUGCCGGCGAAGAACAAGAAAUUGUGUAUGAGGACAUAAUGGCAGACGCAACGAGGGAGGAAACCGCCAAAUAUGCCAUUGUGCUCUCCGAAAUAAACCGCAAACUGGCUGUAGUAAACCCUACCUUUUGAAUCCAAGGUGUUCAAUGCGACCGAGCUCUGUGUGUGAACAAGUGUCGCUUCAGUGAGUUGUGCAAGUGCUCCUGUAAGCGUCCCUUGUGCGUUCCAUGAUUGAAGGGUUUUGAUGUAAAAGUGACGGUUGUGUUUCGCUAUCAUGCCAUGUACAACUGUAGAAAAGUUUGUUAAGAUUGUAGCCAUACACCAUGCCAUUUGUAUUUUGUAAAAAGCACAAUUAUCGCGGCACGUUUUUGAAGUGUUGAAUCCAUGAGACAUCAUUUUCUUUUUAUAUUUUGCUGGUGCAGUAUCAUAUUUCGGGUUUUGCUUUUGGUUCUGGCAUACGCGCAACUCAAAGCAGUGCAUAUUUCGAUGGGAGAGCGACUGGACUUCCUGUAGCGUGCACGUGUAUGUGAACCGAAGUGUGUCAUCCGUGCCUCGUGAAGAAUUGCUCUGUAGAAUUGUCCAAGAAUUUGGAUUUGUGGCAUUUGACGUAUGAGUCCAUCCGCCACCAGUUUCCGUCGCUAUGUUCCUUCGUUGAAAAUAAAAAUGUGAUACCAUCCUGA
Molecule: long non-coding RNA, 1304 nt
Organism: Pollicipes pollicipes
Lineage: Eukaryota; Metazoa; Arthropoda; Thecostraca; Pollicipedomorpha; Pollicipedidae
Exons: 4
Source: RefSeq, a predicted model, not a curated record